AGCUUGCUACUUUGCCGGCGAGCGGCGGACGGGUGAGUAAUGUCUGGGAAACUGCCUGAUGGAGGGGGAUAACUACUGGAAACGGUAGCUAAUACCGCAUAACGUCGCAAGACCAAAGAGGGGGACCUUCGGGCCUCUUGCCAUCAGAUGUGCCCAGAUGGGAUUAGCUAGUAGGUGGGGUAACGGCUCACCUAGGCGACGAUCCCUAGCUGGUCUGAGAGGAUGACCAGCCACACUGGAACUGAGACACGGUCCAGACUCCUACGGGAGGCAGCAGUGGGGAAUAUUGCACAAUGGGCGCAAGCCUGAUGCAGCCAUGCCGCGUGUAUGAAGAAGGCCUUCGGGUUGUAAAGUACUUUCAGCGGGGAGGAAGGCGUUGAGGUUAAUAACCUCAGCGAUUGACGUUACCCGCAGAAGAAGCACCGGCUAACUCCGUGCCAGCAGCCGCGGUAAUACGGAGGGUGCAAGCGUUAAUCGGAAUUACUGGGCGUAAAGCGCACGCAGGCGGUCUGUCAAGUCGGAUGUGAAAUCCCCGGGCUCAACCUGGGAACUGCAUUCGAAACUGGCAGGCUAGAGUCUUGUAGAGGGGGGUAGAAUUCCAGG
RNAcentral lists this ribosomal RNA (603 nucleotides) under Enterobacter sp. RNAcentral describes it as "bacterial SSU rRNA". It matches the Rfam family "Bacterial small subunit ribosomal RNA", at positions 77 to 673 of the family's 1533-position model. The record is from RNAcentral. Lineage: Bacteria; Pseudomonadati; Pseudomonadota; Gammaproteobacteria; Enterobacterales; Enterobacteriaceae.